Molecule: transfer RNA, 91 nt
Filed under: Sporomusaceae bacterium
Lineage: Bacteria; Bacillati; Bacillota; Negativicutes; Selenomonadales; Sporomusaceae
Also listed under: 1 other name
Description: tRNA-Ser
Rfam family: tRNA
About the family: Transfer RNA (tRNA) molecules are approximately 80 nucleotides in length. Their secondary structure includes four short double-helical elements and three loops (D, anti-codon, and T loops).
Source: RNAcentral
GGAGUGGUACUCAAGUGGCUGAAGAGGACGGUUUGCUAAAUCGUUAGACGGGUUACACCGUGCGUGGGUUCAAAUCCCACCCACUCCGCCA